GACGAACGCCGGCGGCGUGCUUAACACAUGCAAGUCGAACGGAAAGGCCCUGCUUUUGUGGGGUGCUCGAGUGGCGAACGGGUGAGUAACACGUGAGUAACCUGCCCUUGACUUUGGGAUAACUUCAGGAAACUGGGGCUAAUACCGGAUAGGAGCUCCUGCUGCAUGGUGGGGGUUGGAAAGUUUCGGCGGUUGGGGAUGGACUCGCGGCUUAUCAGCUUGUUGGUGGGGUAGUGGCUUACCAAGGCUUUGACGGGUAGCCGGCCUGAGAGGGUGACCGGCCACAUUGGGACUGAGAUACGGCCCAGACUCCUACGGGAGGCAGCAGUGGGGAAUAUUGCACAAUGGGCGGAAGCCUGAUGCAGCAACGCCGCGUGCGGGAUGACGGCCUUCGGGUUGUAAACCGCUUUCGCCUGUGACGAAGCGUGAGUGACGGUAAUGGGUAAAGAAGCACCGGCUAACUACGUGCCAGCAGCCGCGGUGAUACGUAGGGUGCGAGCGUUGUCCGGAUUUAUUGGGCGUAAAGGGCUCGUAGGUGGUUGAUCGCGUCGGAAGUGUAAUCUUGGGGCUUAACCCUGAGCGUGCUUUCGAUACGGGUUGACUUGAGGAAGGUAGGGGAGAAUGGAAUUCCUGGUGGAGCGGUGGAAUGCGCAGAUAUCAGGAGGAACACCAGUGGCGAAGGCGGUUCUCUGGGCCUUUCCUGACGCUGAGGAGCGAAAGCGUGGGGAGCGAACAGGCUUAGAUACCCUGGUAGUCCACGCUGUAAACGGUGGGUACUAGGUGUGGGGUCCAUUCCACGGGUUCCGUGCCGUAGCUAACGCUUUAAGUACCCCGCCUGGGGAGUACGGCCGCAAGGCUAAAACUCAAAGGAAUUGACGGGGCCCCGCACAAGCGGCGGAGCAUGCGGAUUAAUUCGAUGCAACGCGUAGAACCUUACCUGGGUUUGACAUGGAUCGGGAGUGCUCAGAGAUGGGUGUGCCUCUUUUGGGGUCGGUUCACAGGUGGUGCAUGCCUGUCGUCAGCUCGUGUCGUGAGAUGUUGGGUUAAGUCCCGCAACGAGCGCAACCCUUGUUCACUGUUGCCAGCACGUUAUGGUGGGGACUCAGUGGAGACCGCCGGGGUCAACUCGGAGGAAGGUGGGGAUGACGUCAAGUCCUCAUGCCCCUCAUGUCCAGGGCUUCACGCAUGCUACAAUGGCUGGUACAGAGAGUGGCGAGCCUGUGAGGGUGAGCGAAUCUCGGAAAGCCGGUCUCAGUUCGGAUUGGGGUCUGCAACUCGACCUCAUGAAGUCGGAGUCGCUAGUAAUCGCAGAUCAGCAACGCUGCGGUGAAUACGUUCCCGGGGCU
RNAcentral lists this ribosomal RNA (1346 nucleotides) under uncultured bacterium. RNAcentral describes it as "bacterial SSU rRNA". It matches the Rfam family "Bacterial small subunit ribosomal RNA", at positions 28 to 1381 of the family's 1533-position model. The record is from RNAcentral.